Prosopis cineraria is the source of this 673-nucleotide long non-coding RNA. RefSeq lists it as uncharacterized. The record is from RefSeq and is a predicted model, not a curated record. The transcript has 2 exons. NCBI's taxonomy places the organism in Eukaryota, Viridiplantae, Streptophyta, Magnoliopsida, Fabales, Fabaceae.
CCUUUUUGUCGGCUGCAACGAGGGGGAGAGAGAUGGGGAGUGGUUCCAGAAAUUUCUUCCCCAUCUUUGAUCGUCCGUCGCCGGUGAACUUGGGUGCAUUGUCCGCCGCCACGGUAGGUGUUAGGGAGCUUGCAAAUCCUCCGCUGUUCCUCCUCUAUUUGUGUAGCAGCUGUGAGCGUUGAUGCCAUCCUUCUUCUUUCUCUUCUCUGCUGUCAGCUUGGUUAAGCACCGAAGAGCCUUCUUUCCUCCUCCCUGCUAGCACACCCAGAACCUUCUCCUCCUUGUUUCUACAAUAGUUGAAGUAAGGAUCUUGGAGUCUCUUCUCCUUUGCUGUUGCUGCGCGUGUUUGAAGGCUGGCUGUUCCUCUGUGUGCGUUUUGCUGUUGCUGUGCGUGUUUGAUGGCUGGCUGUUCCUCUGUGUGCGUUUUACUGUUGCUGUGUGCGUUUGAUGGCUGGCUGUUCCUCUGUGCGCGUUUUGCUGUUGCUGUACAUGUUUUAUGCUGGUUGUUGCUCUGUAUGUUUUGCUGUUGCUGUUUGUGUUUUUAUGGUUGGGGGGGAUUUGAGUAAAAUGAAAUUUGAAGUUUAAGAAAACUUGGAUUUGGUUAAAAACUGAAUUGAUUUAGGUUGUUGUCAUUGGAGAUAAAUAUAAAUAUGAAUUUGGUUUUGCCUUUGAA